This 666-nucleotide ribosomal RNA is filed under the name Alexandrium tamarense. RNAcentral's name for it is "eukaryotic LSU rRNA". It matches the Rfam family "Eukaryotic large subunit ribosomal RNA", at positions 43 to 651 of the family's 3401-position model. The record is from RNAcentral. Lineage: Eukaryota; Dinophyceae; Gonyaulacales; Pyrocystaceae.
UAAGUAAGUGGUGGAAAUUAAACCAAAUGGGAUAUCUUUAGUAAUUGCGAAUGAACAAGGAUAUGCUUAGCUUGACAAAUGGAGCUAUUGGCUUUGAAUUGUAUUGUGGAAAUGUAUUACCAACAGAGGUGCAGGUGCCAGCCUAUUGAAAUAAAGCGUCAAUGAGGGUGAGAAUCCUGUUUGUCAUGUGCAGCCCUUUGUGCACGGUGUAUAUUUGCUGAGUCACACUCCUUGGCAUUGGAAUGCAAAGUGGGUGGUAAGUUUCAUGUAAAGGUAAACAUGCAAUUGAGACUGAUAGCACACAAGUACCAUGAGGGAAAUAUGAAAAGGACUUUGAAAAGAGAAUUAAAUGAGUUUGUAUUUGCUGAACACAAAGUAAACAGACUUGAUUUGCUUGGUGGGAGUGUUGCACUUGCUUGACAAGAGCUUUGGGCUGUGGGUGUAAUGAUUCUUUCUUUGCAUGCCAGUUUCUAUUUGUACAUCUGAUUACCUUUGCACAUGAAUGAUAAGUCUCCUGUGGGGGGUGGAUUGCAUGUGCAUGUAAUGAUUUGUGUUUUGAUAAAUGUGUCUGGUGUAUGUGUGUGUUCCUGUGCUUGGGGAUGCUUCCCUCCUUGGACUUACAAGCCCUGACACACACAUGCUGGCAAAAUGCUUCUGCUUGACCCG